CGACCCUCAGCCCCUUCUCGCUCCUUUCUUCUUUCCUGGUCCCCUUCUUUACGCUUCCCUUCCCUCCCUUCCCUCCCUCCCUCCCCUUCCCUCCCCUCCCUCCCCUUCCCUCCCCUUUCCUCCCUUUCCUCCCCUUCCCUUCCCUCCCUCCCCUUCCCUUCCCUGCUUUACCUCCCCUCCCCUUUCCCUCCUCUCCCCUCCCCUCCCUUUCCCUCCUCUCCCUCCCUUCCUCCCCUCCUCUACCCUUUCCCCUUCCCUUCCCUCUCUCCCCUUCCCUUCCCUCUCUCCCCUUCCCUUCCCUCUCUCCCCUUCCCUUCCCUUCUCUCCCCUUCCCUUCCCUUCUCUCCCCUUCCCUCCUCUCCCCUCCCUCCCUCCUCUCCCCUCCCUUUCCCUCCCCUCCUCUCCCUUUCCCCUUCCCCUCCUCUACCCUUUCCCCUUCCCUUCCCCUCCCCUCCCCUUCCCUUUCCCUCCCCUCCUCUACCCUUUCCCCUCCCCUCCCCUUCCCUUUUCCCUUCCCCUCCCCUCCUCUUCCCCUUCCCCUCCCUCCCCUCCCCUUCCCUUCCCUUCCCCCCUCCCCUUCCCUUCCCUUCUCCCCUCCUCUUCCCCUUCCCCUCCCCUCCCCUCCCCUCCCCUUCCCCUCCCCUCCCCUCCCGGCGCGCUCCUGCCCUAAACUUCCACGAUGCGGUCUUGACGUUACUGGCAGCUUUGCGCGGCCCUUUCUUUGGCGGGACCCCGGGGUGGGGCCGGAGCGCCGGGUCCAAGCGGCCGGGAGCAAAGCGCUCGGGGCCGUUUCCGGAGCGUGCAGCCCGCGCGGGGGCCCGUCCACGCAGCGCAGCGCGGCCCGGCCGGAGCGGGGCCCCCCCGCCGACUCGGGGAGCAGGCUCGGCACUGCGCGGACGCGCGGCCUCUAGGGACCCCCAGGCCCCGGGUUCACGGCGCGGACCCGCCGCAGGCCCGGGCGGGGGCGCCCUUCACCCUGAACCGCGGCGCGGGGGCGGCUCGCUGGGGGCCCGCGGCGGGGGAGGGUCCGGCGUCCGCCGAGCCCGCGUGGCCGUCAGGGGGCGCCCGCAGCCGCCCGCGCGCCGCGUUCCUGGACCUCUGGGCCGGGCCGGGCCUCCGCACGCCUGCGGGGGGCCGGUCGCGGGGAGCCCCGGGCGGGUCGCUCCGCCCCCGCCGGCCCGCGGGCCCGGAGGCUGGGGGCUCGCACUGGCCGUGCAUCCGUCCGCCGUGGGGAGGGGGCCGGGGGCGAGGACACCGAGCCGAGGCCGGGCGCGGGGCAGGGGGCGGCGAAGAUGGAGACGGGGGGGGGGGGGACACAAAGAUGGGAAGGGGCCCGGAGGCCGAGGCCGGCGGCCGUGGGGCAGUGGCGUGCGCCCGCGGGAGGCUCUCCGCGCCGCGCGCACCGCCCUCCCGUGGCAUCUCCGGGGACCGGCGGGGCUCGCAGGGGCGCAGCGGGCGGGAGAGCAGACCCUGGGCUGUGACACGGCGGGUGCCGCGCUCCCCGCUGCCUGGCGCACGGGCCUCCGCGGCCGGGGACGCGGACUGCGCGGCGGGGCGGCCCCGCGGCGGCCACCCACCCCGUGCCGGGCGGCGGGGCGCUGCAGCCUGGGCGUCCGCGGGGCUCCCGGGCCGCCGCACCGGCCGGCCGAGUUGCUCAACUCGGGGGCGGGGGAGCUGGAGGGGAAGGCGGACCGCGGGAGCCGGGGCGACGGCGACGGCGCCGGCCCGAGCGGCCCCAGAUGCGGGUCCCCGCGCCACCUUUGUCUGCGGAGCGCCCCGAGCCUCCACCUCGCUCCGCGGGGUGACAUUAAAUUCUUGCACCCCGCCGGGGCUUCCAGGCAAGCUUUUCCCGCCCAGGCGCUCUCCGGGCCGCCGCGGCCCCACCCCCACCCCCACCCCGGCCUCCCCGGCGGCCCCGGGCUCGGCGCGCGGGACAAAAGACCCCGGGGGACCGCGCGGGCCCCGACAGCCCCCGGGCCGCCCCCGCCCCCGCCCCCGCCCCCCGCAGCCUGUGCGGCCGGACGCGGUCGCGGUCGCCCAGGUCCCCCCAGACCUGCCGGGGGCCCGGGAGCCAGGUGGCGGCCGGCGCGGCGGCUUCGGGGACCGGCCCGCUCGCGGGGCCCCCGAGUCCCCAUUCAAACUUUUGCCUCGAGCAGGUUAACAAAAAAAAAAAAAAAAAGCCCAAGAUGCCAGCGGUCCCUCCAGCUCGGGACCCCACGACUUUUCGCAGGGUUCCCCGCAGUCCCCUUCCCUCCCUUCCCCCAGUUCCGUUAG
This 2274-nucleotide long non-coding RNA is filed under the name Canis lupus dingo (dingo). RNAcentral's name for it is "lncRNA (ENSCAFG00020003196.1)". Lineage: Eukaryota; Metazoa; Chordata; Mammalia; Carnivora; Canidae. The record is from RNAcentral.